RNAcentral lists this long non-coding RNA (734 nucleotides) under Chrysemys picta bellii (western painted turtle). RNAcentral's name for it is "lncRNA (ENSCPBG00000026335.1)". The record is from RNAcentral. Lineage: Eukaryota; Metazoa; Chordata; Testudines; Emydidae.
AGGAUGAGGAGGAACAAGCGAGAGAACGCCGGCGGAGAGACCGCAACCUGAGCUCCACCACUGAUGCUGAGGAUGAAGCCCUUUCCCCUGUGCAGGAUCCCAACAAGCAGGCAGUGGAGAGGCUACGGCGGCUCAAGGAAGCAGAGCCACCAGCGGCAGCCACGGCCGAAGAGGAGGUGUCUGAGCAGAAGCUCACAGCGGUGCUGAGACCGCAAGAGAUCAGGAGGCAGAGGUGGCACGUGGAGAGCUCAGAAAACCUCCGAAAGGAGAAGGAGCAGCCAGAGAACUGCAGGGAGCCAGACAUGGGAGCAGGCCGCCUGGAGGCAGCCCCAUGUCGGGGGUCAGCUCGGGAUGGGAAAGCUCUGGCAGGGGAACAGCACCAGGGGCUGGCCCAAGAGCCGACAGGCCCAAAGGCAGAACAAUGUCUGGGGUUGGCUCCAGAGCAGAAGAUCCUGGUAGGAGAACAGCAUCAGGGGUUGGCUCAGGAUGAGAAGGACCUGAUAGCUGACAAGCCCCCGCAGGAGCCAGAGGUGACAGGAGGCCAGCCCCAGGGAUCGGCUCAGGAGCAGAAAGACCGUAGUCACCUGGAGGUGAAAGUCUUCUCAAGGGGAAGAAGCCGCAUAGAACAAAAACCAGACUCCCCAGUUACUCGCCCCUUCAGCCAGCAGGAUACAGCAAGGAAUCCCCCGCGGGCUCAGGAAACAGCAGGGUCGCCCACCACCCAAGACAGACCC